This 497-nucleotide ribosomal RNA is filed under the name uncultured bacterium. RNAcentral describes it as "partial 16S ribosomal RNA". It matches the Rfam family "Bacterial small subunit ribosomal RNA", at positions 28 to 507 of the family's 1533-position model. The record is from RNAcentral.
GAUGAACGCUGGCGGCGUGCCUAAUACAUGCAAGUCGAACGCUGAAGGAAGGAGCUUGCUCUUUCCGGAUGAGUUGCGAACGGGUGAGUAACGCGUAGGUAACCUGCCUGGUAGCGGGGGAUAACUAUUGGAAACGAUAGCUAAUACCGCAUAACAGUAGAUGUUGCAUGAUAUCUACUUAAAAGGUGCAAUUGCACCACUACCAGAUGGACCUGCGUUGUAUUAGCUAGUUGGUGAGGUAACGGCUCACCAAGGCGACGAUACAUAGCCGACCUGAGAGGGGGAUCGGCCACACUGGGACUGAGACACGGCCCAGACUCCUACGGGAGGCAGCAGUAGGGAAUCUUCGGCAAUGGACGGAAGUCUGACCGAGCAACGCCGCGGGAGUGAAGAAGGUUUUCGGAUCGUAAAGCUCUGUUGUAAGAGAAGAACGAGUGUGAGAGUGGAAAGUUCACACUGUGACGGUAUCUUACCAGAAAGGGACGGCUAACUACGUG